AUGCAAGUCGAGCGGAUGAGAGGAGCUUGCUCCUCGAUUUAGCGGCGGACGGGUGAGUAAUGCCUAGGAAUCUGCCCAGUAGUGGGGGACAACGUUUCGAAAGGAACGCUAAUACCGCAUACGUCCUACGGGAGAAAGUGGGGGAUCUUCGGACCUCACGCUAUUGGAUGAGCCUAGGUCGGAUUAGCUAGUUGGUAGGGUAACGGCCUACCAAGGCGACGAUCCGUAACUGGUCUGAGAGGAUGAUCAGUCACACUGGAACUGAGACACGGUCCAGACUCCUACGGGAGGCAGCAGUGGGGAAUAUUGGACAAUGGGCGAAAGCCUGAUCCAGCCAUGCCGCGUGUGUGAAGAAGGCCCUCGGGUCGUAAAGCACUUUAAGUUGGGAGGAAGGGCUUACAGCGAAUACCUGUGAGUUUUGACGUUACCAACAGAAUAAGCACCGGCUAACUUCGUGCCAGCAGCCGCGGUAAUACGAAGGGUGCAAGCGUUAAUCGGAAUUACUGGGCGUAAAGCGCGCGUAGGUGGCUUGAUAAGUUGGAUGUGAAAUCCCCGGGCUCAACCUGGGAACUGCAUCCAAAACUGUCUGGCUAGAGUGCGGUAGAGGGUAGUGGAAUUUCCAGUGUAGCGGUGAAAUGCGUAGAUAUUGGAAGGAAC
This 657-nucleotide ribosomal RNA is filed under the name Pseudomonas oryzihabitans. Its description in RNAcentral is "bacterial SSU rRNA". It matches the Rfam family "Bacterial small subunit ribosomal RNA", at positions 55 to 707 of the family's 1533-position model. Lineage: Bacteria; Pseudomonadati; Pseudomonadota; Gammaproteobacteria; Pseudomonadales; Pseudomonadaceae. The record is from RNAcentral.